AGAGUUUGAUCCUGGCUCAGAACGAACGCUGGCGGCAGGCUUAACACAUGCAAGUCGAACGCUCCGCAAGGAGAGUGGCAGACGGGUGAGUAACGCGUGGGAACAUACCCCCCGGUUCGGAAUAACUCAGGGAAACUUGAGCUAAUACCGAAUACGGUCGAGAGGCGAAAGAUUUAUCGCCGAGGGAUUGGCCCGCGUCCGAUAUUAGCUAGUUGGUGAGGUAAUGGCUCACCAAGGCGACGAUCGGUAGCUGGUCUGAAAGGAUGAUUCAGCCACAUUGGGACUGAGACCCCGCCCCAAACUCCUACGGGAGGCAGCAGUGGGGAAUAUUGGACAAUGGGCGAAAGCCUGAUCCAGCCAUGCCGCGUGAGUGAUGACGGCCUUAGGGUUGUAAAGCUCUUUCAUCAGGGACGAUAAUGACGGUACCUGAAGAAGAAG
Molecule: ribosomal RNA, 438 nt
Filed under: uncultured bacterium
Lineage: Bacteria
Description: bacterial SSU rRNA
Rfam family: Bacterial small subunit ribosomal RNA
Source: RNAcentral